AUUGAACGCUGGCGGCAUGCUUUACACAUGCAAGUCGAACGGUAACAGGCCGCAAGGUGCUGACGAGUGGCGAACGGGUGAGUAAUGCAUCGGAACGUGCCCAGUCGUGGGGGAUAACUACUCGAAAGAGUAGCUAAUACCGCAUACGAUCUAUGGAUGAAAGCGGGGGACCGUAAGGCCUCGCGCGAUUGGAGCGGCCGAUGUCAGAUUAGGUAGUUGGUGGGGUAAAGGCUCACCAAGCCAACGAUCUGUAGCUGGUCUGAGAGGACGACCAGCCACACUGGGACUGAGACACGGCCCAGACUCCUACGGGAGGCAGCAGUGGGGAAUUUUGGACAAUGGGCGCAAGCCUGAUCCAGCAAUGCCGCGGGCAGGAAGAAGGCCUUCGGGUUGUAAACUGCUUUUGUACGGAACGAAACGGCUCUGGUUAAUACCCGGGGCUAAUGACGGUACCGUAAGAAUAAGCACCGGCUAACUACGU
Molecule: ribosomal RNA, 481 nt
Filed under: uncultured bacterium
Lineage: Bacteria
Description: partial 16S ribosomal RNA
Rfam family: Bacterial small subunit ribosomal RNA
Source: RNAcentral